RNAcentral lists this long non-coding RNA (264 nucleotides) under Lathyrus oleraceus (garden pea). RNAcentral's name for it is "Pisum sativum (pea) long non-coding RNA (PSAT_LNC015218)". The record is from RNAcentral. Lineage: Eukaryota; Viridiplantae; Streptophyta; Magnoliopsida; Fabales; Fabaceae.
AAAUGGGUGCAUGAAUGCAUGAAUGCAACAAUCACACUCAAGGAUCAAGCAAAGAUAUGUUUAUUUGCUGCCUUGCUCUUCAUCUUGCUAUUUGUGAUUGAUAUUGCUUGAUUAUAAAGUCCAAGGGAAAUUUGGGUUUCUAUUUGAUAUUCUUGUCUAUUGGAUUGCAGCCCAUUGGUCAGAUCUUUUCAACUCUCAACUUUUAAAUUUUAUGCUUAGGAUUAGUCUCUUCAUCUUCUCCCCAUUUCUUUAAUUUCAAACUCU